RNAcentral lists this ribosomal RNA (1342 nucleotides) under Helicobacter pylori. Its description in RNAcentral is "16S ribosomal RNA". It matches the Rfam family "Bacterial small subunit ribosomal RNA", at positions 19 to 1383 of the family's 1533-position model. Lineage: Bacteria; Pseudomonadati; Campylobacterota; Epsilonproteobacteria; Campylobacterales; Helicobacteraceae. The record is from RNAcentral.
CUGGCUCAGAGUGAACGCUGGCGGCGUGCCUAAUACAUGCAAGUCGAACGAUGAAGCKUCUAGCUUGCUAGAGUGCUGAUUAGUGGCGCACGGGUGAGUAACGCAUAGGUUAUGUGCCUCUUAGUUUGGGAUAGCCAUUGGAAACGAUGAUUAAUACCAGAUACUCCCUACGGGGGAAAGAUUUAUCGCUAAGAGAUCAGCCUAUGUCCUAUCAGCUUGUUGGUAAGGUAAUGGCUUACCAAGGCUAUGACGGGUAUCCGGCCUGAGAGGGUGAACGGACACACUGGAACUGAGACACGGUCCAGACUCCUACGGGAGGCAGCAGUAGGGAAUAUUGCUCAAUGGGGGAAACCCUGAAGCAGCAACGCCGCGUGGAGGAUGAAGGUUUUAGGAUUGUAAACUCCUUUUGUUAGAGAAGAUAAUGACGGUAUCUAACGAAUAAGCACCGGCUAACUCCGUGCCAGCAGCCGCGGUAAUACGGAGGGUGCAAGCGUUACUCGGAAUCACUGGGCGUAAAGAGCGCGUAGGCGGGAUAGUCAGUCAGGUGUGAAAUCCUAUGGCUUAACCAUAGAACUGCAUUUGAAACUACUAUUCUAGAGUGUGGGAGAGGUAGGUGGAAUUCUUGGUGUAGGGGUAAAAUCCGUAGAGAUCAAGAGGAAUACUCAUUGCGAAGGCGACCUGCUGGAACAUUACUGACGCUGAUUGCGCGAAAGCGUGGGGAGCAAACAGGAUUAGAUACCCUGGUAGUCCACGCCCUAAACGAUGGAUGCUAGUUGUUGGAGGGCUUAGUCUCUCCAGUAAUGCAGCUAACGCAUUAAGCAUCCCGCCUGGGGAGUACGGUCGCAAGAUUAAAACUCAAAGGAAUAGACGGGGACCCGCACAAGCGGUGGAGCAUGUGGUUUAAUUCGAAGAUACACGAAGAACCUUACCUAGGCUUGACAUUGAGAGAAUCCGCUAGAAAUAGUGGAGUGUCUGGCUUGCUAGACCUUGAAAACAGGUGCUGCACGGCUGUCGUCAGCUCGUGUCGUGAGAUGUUGGGUUAAGUCCCGCAACGAGCGCAACCCCCUUUCUUAGUUGCUAACAGGUCAUGCUGAGAACUCUAAGGAUACUGCCUCCGUAAGGAGGAGGAAGGUGGGGACGACGUCAAGUCAUCAUGGCCCUUACGCCUAGGGCUACACACGUGCUACAAUGGGGUGCACAAAGAGAAGCAAUACUGCGAAGUGGAGCCAAUCUUCAAAACACCUCUCAGUUCGGAUUGUAGGCUGCAACUCGCCUGCAUGAAGCUGGAAUCGCUAGUAAUCGCAAAUCAKCCAUGUUGCGGURAAUACGUUCCCGGGUCUUG